This 537-nucleotide ribosomal RNA is filed under the name Triticum aestivum (bread wheat). RNAcentral describes it as "partial small subunit ribosomal RNA". The record is from RNAcentral. Lineage: Eukaryota; Viridiplantae; Streptophyta; Magnoliopsida; Poales; Poaceae.
AUGAGGGCCUUAAUGGGCAAGCUCCUCGCCGUCGCCACUGCCCUCGGCGCCGUGUUGAUCAUGUCAACCAGAGCCUACGCGAACCUGGAGGCGACGUGCAUGGCGGCGUCCGCCAAGGACACGCGCUUCAACUACAGCUUCUGCGUGAAGGCACUGUCGGCAGCGGCACAAACCGGGAAUGGCGCGCGGGAGCUCGCCAAGGCCACGGCGGAGAUGGGCGCCAAGUUGGCCGCCGCCACGGAGGCCAAGGCCAGGGCGAGGCUGGAGGAUCCGCGCACGGAGCGCAAGGCGUACGAUCCCUACCAGACGUGCUACUACAUCUACCAGCGUGCGAGCAACUUGUUCUUGUUUGCUGAGCACUUGAUCGACAAGAACGCCUACGCCGACGCCAAGAGUGCAGCUCGGGACGUACCCUCGGCCGUGGGCGACUGCGAUCGGUACUUCCACGAAGCCGGGCUGGGGGCCCCGUUCUUGGAGCAGAGCGCAAAGUGUGAGCAGUUGGGGAUCAUAUGCGGGGCCAUCACCGACCUUUUGUGA